GGGGGGGAAGUAAAAAAUUGUAACAAGGUCUCCGUAGGGUGAACCUGCGGAGGGGAUCAUUAACGAGUUAGGGUCUCUCUAGGCCCGACCUCCCAACCCUUUGUUUACCUAAACCUCAUGUGGGUUCGGGGGACCCGUCUCACGACCGCGGGGGGGAUCGCUGCGAAGCGUCUCUGGGCCGGGGUCCGCCGACAGCCAACCCCAAACUCUGGAUGAAUCGUGUUUUUUGUCUGAGUCUUGGGAUUAUAUCAAAAGCAAAAAACUUUCAACAACGGAUCUCUUGGUUCUGGCAUCGAUGAAGAACGCAGCGAAAUGCGAUAAGUAAUGCGAAUUGCAGAAUUCCAGUGAGUCAUCGAAUCUUGGAACGCACAUUGCGCCCUUUGGUAUUCCAAAGGGCAUGCCUGUUCGAGCGUCAUUAUCACCCCUCAAGCCCCGUGCUUGGUGUUGGACGGUCUUGGUCGAGUGUUCUCGACCCCUCCUAAAGACAAUGACGGCGGCCUGCGGAUCCCCCGGUACACUGAGCUUUUCACCGAGCACGUAUCGGACAAGGGCGCCCAGGCCACGUCCUCUCCUCUAACCAGGAAACAUUCCAAGGUGACCUCGGAUCAGGGAGAGACGCA
RNAcentral lists this ribosomal RNA (620 nucleotides) under Cladophialophora carrionii. RNAcentral describes it as "eukaryotic LSU rRNA". The stretch from base 261 to 415 matches the Rfam family "5.8S ribosomal RNA". Lineage: Eukaryota; Fungi; Ascomycota; Eurotiomycetes; Chaetothyriales; Herpotrichiellaceae. The record is from RNAcentral.